This 30-nucleotide non-coding RNA is filed under the name Mus musculus (house mouse). The record is from RNAcentral. Lineage: Eukaryota; Metazoa; Chordata; Mammalia; Rodentia; Muridae.
UGAUUGGAACCCUAUUUCAGUCUCCAUGGU